GUUUUAUGAUGAUAUCCCAUGCGUGUCAUCUGAAGCCCAGGACACUCUGCAUUGUUCCUGCGCAGACUGCGUCUUGCGGUCUGCGUCAGUGUGGUGCAGAGGAUCCUGGGAAAUGAUCUUCCCAACCUAUCUGAAAAC
Small nucleolar RNA from Spea bombifrons (plains spadefoot toad), 138 nucleotides. RefSeq annotates it as small nucleolar RNA SNORD10. The transcript has a single exon. NCBI's taxonomy places the organism in Eukaryota, Metazoa, Chordata, Amphibia, Anura, Pelobatidae. The record is from RefSeq and is a predicted model, not a curated record.